CUCGUCUGUCUGCUGGGCUGGAGGCAGGGCCUUUGUGAAGGCGGGUUGUGCUCAGAUCGCCUCUGGGCCCUUCCUCCAGCCCAGAGGCGGGUUCA
RNAcentral lists this microRNA precursor (95 nucleotides) under Myotis brandtii (Brandt's bat). RNAcentral's name for it is "mir-326 microRNA precursor family". It matches the Rfam family "mir-326 microRNA precursor family". The record is from Rfam by way of RNAcentral. Lineage: Eukaryota; Metazoa; Chordata; Mammalia; Chiroptera; Vespertilionidae.